UAAGGAAUAUUGGUCAAUGGACGCAAGUCUGAACCAGCCAUGCCGCGUGGAGGAUGAAGGUCCUCUGGAUUGUAAACUUCUUUUAUCUGGGACGAAACACUCCUAUUCUUAGGGGCCUGACGGUACCAGAUGAAUAAGCACCGGCUAACUCCGUGCCAGCAGCCGCGGUAAUACGGAGGGUGCAAGCGUUAUCCGGAUUCACUGGGUUUAAAGGGUGCGUAGGUGGGUAUGUAAGUCAGUGGUGAAAUCCCCGAGCUUAACUUGGGAACUGCCGUUGAUACUAUAUAUCUUGCAUGCCGUAGAGGUAAGCGGAAUAUGUCAUGUAGCGGUGAAAUGCUUAGAGAUGACAUAGAACACCAAUUGCGAAGGCAGCUUACUAUGCGGUGAUUGACACUGAUGCACGAAAGCGUGGGUAGCAAACA
RNAcentral lists this ribosomal RNA (422 nucleotides) under uncultured bacterium. RNAcentral's name for it is "bacterial SSU rRNA". It matches the Rfam family "Bacterial small subunit ribosomal RNA", at positions 355 to 774 of the family's 1533-position model. The record is from RNAcentral.